RNAcentral lists this ribosomal RNA (651 nucleotides) under Brachybacterium phenoliresistens. Its description in RNAcentral is "bacterial SSU rRNA". It matches the Rfam family "Bacterial small subunit ribosomal RNA", at positions 80 to 746 of the family's 1533-position model. The record is from RNAcentral. Lineage: Bacteria; Bacillati; Actinomycetota; Actinomycetes; Micrococcales; Dermabacteraceae.
UGCACGGCUGGAUUAGUGGCGAACGGGUGAGUAACACGUGAGUAACCUGCCCUUCACUCUGGGAUAACCUCGGGAAAUCGGGGCUAAUACCGGAUAUGAGUGUCCACUGCAUGGUGGAUGCUGGAAAGUUUUUCGGUGAAGGAUGGACUCGCGGCCUAUCAGUUUGUUGGUGAGGUAAUGGCUCACCAAGACGAUGACGGGUAGCCGGCCUGAGAGGGCGACCGGCCACACUGGGACUGAGACACGGCCCAGACUCCUACGGGAGGCAGCAGUGGGGAAUAUUGCACAAUGGGCGAAAGCCUGAUGCAGCGACGCCGCGUGAGGGAUGACGGCCUUCGGGUUGUAAACCUCUUUCAGUAGGGAAGAAGCGAAAGUGACGGUACCUGCAGAAGAAGCGCCGGCUAACUACGUGCCAGCAGCCGCGGUAAUACGUAGGGCGCAAGCGUUGUCCGGAAUUAUUGGGCGUAAAGAGCUUGUAGGUGGCUUGUCGCGUCUGCCGUGAAAAUCCAGGGCUUAACUCUGGACGUGCGGUGGGUACGGGCAGGCUAGAGUGUGGUAGGGGAGACUGGAACUCCUGGUGUAGCGGUGAAAUGCGCAGAUAUCAGGAAGAACACCGAUGGCGAAGGCAGGUCUCUGGGCCAUUACUGACAC